Molecule: long non-coding RNA, 351 nt
Organism: Ornithorhynchus anatinus (platypus)
Lineage: Eukaryota; Metazoa; Chordata; Mammalia; Monotremata; Ornithorhynchidae
Exons: 2
Source: RefSeq, a predicted model, not a curated record
GGCUCUCUUGAAGCGUUGUGUGGUCGCUGCUUUCGUGCGCCUCGGUGGGAUUUUGGACGUGCCCGGGGGAUUUAUCAAGUAAAGGACGAGUCCUCCCGGAGAAGGCGAAAUCCUUGAGGUUUCAGAAACUGAGCGCGCAUCAGUUUCUACCAACCAAUCAACCACGGAGCUAGCCGGCUGAUCUCCCGUGUUGUCAAUGAUUCCCGCGUCAGUAGUGCUUCCCGGGAAGACCUGUGCGAUUCAGAUGUUGCCUUGGCUCCUGAAGGGAGAAGAUAGCACUGACCAAAGCACCUCCUUUAGCACAACCUGCUUCUUUAAUAUAUUCACGGCAGAGGUGAUUUCUCAAGUAAA